UGGGGAAUCUUCCGCAAUGGACGAAAGUCUGACGGAGCAACGCCGCGUGUAUGAAGAAGGCCUUCGGGUUGUAAAGUACUGUUGUUAGGGAAGAACUUCCAGUAUGUAAAUAAUGUAUUGGAUUGACGGUACCUAACGAGGAAGCCCCGGCUAACUACGUGCCAGCAGCCGCGGUAAUACGUAGGGGGCAAGCGUUGUCCGGAAUUAUUGGGCGUAAAGGGCGCGUAGGCGGGCAUAUAAGUCUGAUGUGAAAGUGCGGGGCUUAACCCCGUAAAGCAUUGGAAACUGUAUGUCUUGAGGACAGGAGAGGAAAGUGGAAUUCCUAGUGUAGCGGUGAAAUGCGUAGAUAUUAGGAGGAACACCAGUGGCGAAGGCGACUUUCUGGACUGUAACUGACGCUGAGGCGCGAAAGCGUGGGGAGCGAACAGG
This 429-nucleotide ribosomal RNA is filed under the name uncultured prokaryote. RNAcentral describes it as "bacterial SSU rRNA". It matches the Rfam family "Bacterial small subunit ribosomal RNA", at positions 355 to 776 of the family's 1533-position model. RNAcentral also lists the same sequence under 1 other name. The record is from RNAcentral.